RNAcentral lists this ribosomal RNA (253 nucleotides) under uncultured bacterium. RNAcentral describes it as "partial 16S ribosomal RNA". It matches the Rfam family "Bacterial small subunit ribosomal RNA", at positions 524 to 776 of the family's 1533-position model. The record is from RNAcentral.
UACGUAGGGGGCUAGCGUUGUCCGGAAUCAUUGGGCGUAAAGCGCGUGUAGGCGGUCCGGUAAGUCCGCUGUGAAAGUCGAGGGCUCAACCCUCGAAUGCCGGUGGAUACUGUCGGGCUUGAGUACGGGAGAGGCGAGUGGAAUUCCUGGUGUAGCGGUGAAAUGCGUAGAUAUCGAGAGGAACACCUGCGGCGAAGGCGGGUAGCUGGGCCGACACUGACGCUGAGGCGCGAAAGCCAGGGGAGCGAACGGG